GAUGAACGCUGGCGGCGUGCCUAAUACAUGCAAGUCGAGCGAACAGACGAGGAGCUUGCUCCUCUGACGUUAGCGGCGGACGGGUGAGUAACACGUGGAUAACCUACCUAUAAGACUGGGAUAACUUCGGGAAACCGGAGCUAAUACCGGAUAAUAUAUUGAACCGCAUGGUUCAAUAGUGAAAGACGGUUUUGCUGUCACUUGUAGAUGGAUCCGCGCCGCAUUAGCUAGUUGGUAAGGUAACGGCUUACCAAGGCGACGAUGCGUAGCCGACCUGAGAGGGUGAUCGGCCACACUGGAACGGAGACACGGUCCAGACUCCUACGGGAGGCAGCAGUAGGGAAUCUUCCGCAAUGGGCGAAAGCCUGACGGAGCAACGCCGCGUGAGUGAUGAAGGUCUUCGGAUCGUAAAACUCUGUUAUUAGGGAAGAACAAAUGUGUAAGUAACUAUGCACGUCUUGACGGUACCUAAUCAGAAAGCCACGGCUAACUACGUG
RNAcentral lists this ribosomal RNA (497 nucleotides) under uncultured bacterium. RNAcentral describes it as "partial 16S ribosomal RNA". It matches the Rfam family "Bacterial small subunit ribosomal RNA", at positions 28 to 507 of the family's 1533-position model. The record is from RNAcentral.